UGAGGAAUAUUGGUCAAUGGGCGCAAGCCUGAACCAGCCAUCCCGCGUGAAGGAAGAAUGCGCUAUGCGUUGUAAACUUCUUUUCCAGGGGAAGAAAAUCCUGUACGUGUACGGGACUGACGGUACCUUGGGAAUAAGCAUCGGCUAACUCCGUGCCAGCAGCCGCGGUAAUACGGAGGAUGCGAGCGUUAUCCGGAUUCAUUGGGUUUAAAGGGUGCGUAGGCGGAGCGAUAAGUCAGUGGUGAAAUUCUGCAGCUUAACUGUAGACGUGCCAUUGAUACUGUCGUUCUUGAGUAUGGUCAAGGUAGGCGGAAUGUGUAAUGUAGCGGUGAAAUGCUUAGAUAUUACACAGAACACCGAUUGCGAAGGCAGCUUACUGGGCCAUUACUGACGCUGAUGC
This 400-nucleotide ribosomal RNA is filed under the name uncultured bacterium. RNAcentral's name for it is "bacterial SSU rRNA". It matches the Rfam family "Bacterial small subunit ribosomal RNA", at positions 355 to 752 of the family's 1533-position model. The record is from RNAcentral.